Pygocentrus nattereri (red-bellied piranha) is the source of this 1177-nucleotide long non-coding RNA. NCBI's taxonomy places the organism in Eukaryota, Metazoa, Chordata, Actinopteri, Characiformes, Serrasalmidae. The record is from Ensembl.
GUUUGUUUAACCAUUUCCAAACCUCUCCUCGAGGAAGCCCAGUAUUAUAUGUAGUUAAAAAGCAGCUCCUGGUUUGACCAAUCAGUGCUUCAGUAAAUUGUGCUCAUGAUGUCAUUGAUGAUAUUAACAAGUCUCUGUGGCGGCUGUGAAGGUGUCAAGGAAAAAUAUGGACCCAAGAAAUUCUUGUUAAUUUUUAUUGUUUUUAUGUUUAUUUGAAUUAUGAAUACGACUUUAUUCUAAUGUAUAUUGUGAUAAACUCACUCCUGAGGUCAAUUGUUAAAUUUGCUUAGAUGCCUAAAACUGUCACACAGUAAUGUAGGCAAACUACAGCUGAAUCACAGGCCUGUAUGAUCUAAUCAGGAAAUACCUGCUACUGUUUUGUAGUAAUAACAGUGCAGAAAGGGGCGUCUCACACCUUCAUUAUCACUUACAGAGGCAGCUGUCAGUUACUGACAGAAAGGAGAGGAAAUGGGGAGAGUUUGUAGUGAUUUUCCAGGCAGAAGGAAGACGUGAACUUUUUCACACACCAGACUUUAUGCUGAGUAUCAGGUGCAGCAGAUACAUUCUGGGACGUCAGACACCCUUUAAGAUGGAAUGGGAAAAUUUGAAGAGGAAGCGACUUCAGCCUCAUAAACAGUUGAACGCUGAGAGACAUUUUACAAGAAACUGAUCUACAUUUGAGGAAAAGUUUCCUGCUGGAGAUGCGAGAAAAGUGCCGAUAGCUGAGCUAAAGCUUAAAGCAGAGCAAAGUGAGUCUGUGUUUUCAUUUAAAUGAUAUUUAUUUACAUAUAUUAGUACAUCAGCACACACUGAGACACAUUUACAGCCAAGAUAAUAAAACAGACAUAGAAUAUUGUGGCUCCCAAGGUGGACUGAAUUUUAUUGAAAGGGCAAAAUGGCUCUUCUUAACAUGUGGUUUGCGACCUCUGAGUAUGAUUAUUAUUAAUAUUUAUUUUUUAUGUAUUUUAUUUUAUAUAUUUUUUUUGUUAGAAAGAACUAUUUUGAAAAACUCUUUAAAGGACCACUGUCCUACAUUUUUCUAAUGUUAUCCCAGGGGUUCCACAUAUACUACUAGAUAUACAUUCAAAAAGCACAGUUUGCCAUGAUAUGGGCUUUUAAAACAGUCAUAUACAACAGGUUGUUCAUCUUUGAGAGAGCCAUAUUUAAUCAAAUGGUU